GCGUAUAUUAAAGUUGUUGCAGUUAAAACGCUCGUAGUCGGGUUUCGGGUCGGGCCGAGCGGUCUGCCGAUGGGUAUGCACUGUUUGGCGCGGCCUUCUUUCCGGAGACCGCGGCUACUCUUAACUGAGCGGGCGUGGGAUACGGAUCGUUUACUUUGAAAAAAUCAGAGUGUUUCAAGCAGGCAGCUCGCUCUUGCAUGGUACAGCAUGGGAUGAUUGAAUAGGACUCCGGUGCUAUUUUGUUGGUUUCGAACACCAGGAGUAAUGAUUAACAGGGACAGUCAGGGGCACUCGUAUUCCGUCGAGAGAGGUGAAAUUCUCAGACCAAUGGAAGACGAACCACUGCGAAAGCAUUUGCCAGGGAUGUUUUCACUGA
RNAcentral lists this ribosomal RNA (376 nucleotides) under uncultured Phaeocystis. Its description in RNAcentral is "SSU rRNA". It matches the Rfam family "Eukaryotic small subunit ribosomal RNA", at positions 597 to 976 of the family's 1831-position model. Lineage: Eukaryota; Haptophyta; Phaeocystales; Phaeocystaceae. The record is from RNAcentral.